UACGAAGGGGGCUAGCGUUGCUCGGAAUCACUGGGCGUAAAGGGUGCGUAGGCGGGGCUUUAAGUCAGGGGUGAAAUCCUGGAGCUCAACUCCAGAACUGCCUUUGAUACUGAAGAUCUUGAGUCCGGGAGAGGUGAGUGGAACUGCGAGUGUAGAGGUGAAAUUCGUAGAUAUUCGCAAGAACACCCGUGGCGAAGGCGGCUCUCUGGGACGGUACUGACGCUGAGACGCGAAAGCGUGGGGAGCGAACAGG
Molecule: ribosomal RNA, 253 nt
Filed under: uncultured bacterium
Lineage: Bacteria
Description: partial 16S ribosomal RNA
Rfam family: Bacterial small subunit ribosomal RNA
Source: RNAcentral